GACGAACGCUGGCGGCGUGCUUAACACAUGCAAGUCGAACGGAAAGGCCCUGCUUUUGUGGGGUGCUCGAGUGGCGAACGGGGGAGUAAAACGUGAGUAACCUGCCCUUGACUUUGGGAUAACUUCAGGGAAAUGGGGCUAAUACCGGAUAGGAGCUCCUGCUGCAUGGGGGGGGUUGGAAAGUUUCGGCGGUUGGGGAUGGACUCGCGGCUUAUCAGCUUGUUGGUGGGGUAGUGGCUUACCAAGGCUUUGACGGGUAGCCGGCCUGAGAGGGUGACCGGCCACAUUGCGACUGAGAGACGGCCCAGACGGCAACGGGCGGCAGCAGGGGGGAAUAUUGCACAAUGGCCCGAAGCCUGAUGCAGCAACGCUGCGUGCGGGAUGACCGCCUUCGGGUUGUAAACCGCUUUCGCAGGUGACGAAGCGUGAGUGACGGUAAUGGGUAAAGAAGCACCGGCUAACUACGUG
Molecule: ribosomal RNA, 468 nt
Filed under: uncultured bacterium
Lineage: Bacteria
Description: partial 16S ribosomal RNA
Rfam family: Bacterial small subunit ribosomal RNA
Source: RNAcentral